This 64-nucleotide transfer RNA is filed under the name Mandarella nipponensis. RNAcentral describes it as "tRNA-Asn". Lineage: Eukaryota; Metazoa; Arthropoda; Insecta; Coleoptera; Chrysomelidae. The record is from RNAcentral.
UUAAUUGAAACCAAACUAGCGGUCUAUCACUGUUAAUGAUAAUAUUGAGAUUACUCCGAUUAAA